Molecule: long non-coding RNA, 237 nt
Filed under: Elaeis guineensis (African oil palm)
Lineage: Eukaryota; Viridiplantae; Streptophyta; Magnoliopsida; Arecales; Arecaceae
Description: long non-coding RNA (EGUI_LNC002577)
Source: RNAcentral
AUGGUUUACCGAUUCCUCUUACAUUCCUUGAUAGGAUUGCCAUGAGUAAAUUCCAUACUCCAUAAUUCGUCUUGAAAUAUAGCAGCUAGCAACACUUUCAUUUUCAUUGAUUGCUACGGCAGUGAGUACAUUGAUACAUGCAACCAUUUCUUUUUCUUCCCACCCAAAAAGAAUAUACAAAAUGUGGCUCUUAAUAAGUCUCGACAAUUCUGCACAGCUUGCUUAACUUCUUUGGCC